This 497-nucleotide ribosomal RNA is filed under the name uncultured bacterium. RNAcentral describes it as "partial 16S ribosomal RNA". It matches the Rfam family "Bacterial small subunit ribosomal RNA", at positions 28 to 507 of the family's 1533-position model. The record is from RNAcentral.
GAUGAACGCUGGCGGCGUGCCUAAUACAUGCAAGUCGAGCGAACGGACGAGAAGCUUGCUUUUCUGAUGUUAGCGGCGGACGGGUGAGUAACACGUGGAUAACCUACCUAUAAGACUGGGAUAACUUCGGGAAACCGGAGCUAAUACCGGAUAAUAUUUUGAACCGCAUGGUUCAAAAGUGAAAGACGGUCUUGCUGUCACUUAUAGAUGGAUCCGCGCUGCAUUAGCUAGUUGGUAAGGUAACGGCUUACCAAGGCAACGAUGCAUAGCCGACCUGAGAGGGUGAUCGGCCACACUGGAACUGAGACACGGUCCAGACUCCUACGGGAGGCAGCAGUAGGGAAUCUUCCGCAAUGGGCGAAAGCCUGACGGAGCAACGCCGCGUGAGUGAUGAAGGUCUUCGGAUCGUAAAACUCUGUUAUUAGGGAAGAACAUAUGUGUAAGUAACUGUGCACAUCUUGACGGUACCUAAUCAGAAAGCCACGGCUAACUACGAG